GAUGAACGCUAGCUACAGGCUUAACACAUGCAAGUCGAGGGGAAACGAUAUUGGAAGCUUGCUUCCGAUAGGCGUCGACCGGCGCACGGGUGAGUAACGCGUAUCCAACCUGCCCACCACUUGGGGAUAACCUUGCGAAAGUAAGACUAAUACCCAAUGACGUCUCUAGAAGACAUCUGAAAGAGAUUAAAGAUUUAUCGGUGAUGGAUGGGGAUGCGUCUGAUUAGCUUGUUGGCGGGGUAACGGCCCACCAAGGCGACGAUCAGUAGGGGUUCUGAGAGGAAGGUCCCCCACAUUGGAACUGAGACACGGUCCAAACUCCUACGGGAGGCAGCAGUGAGGAUAUUGGUCAAUGGACGGAAGUCUGAACCAGCCAAGUAGCGUGCAGGACGACGGCCCUA
Molecule: ribosomal RNA, 401 nt
Filed under: uncultured bacterium
Lineage: Bacteria
Description: bacterial SSU rRNA
Rfam family: Bacterial small subunit ribosomal RNA
Source: RNAcentral